AAGCCACUUUAUACAAAUCGGAGAAUAAGAUUUUUCUCUCUAUUGUUGAGAGAAAAAUUUUCUCGUGCUAGUUGCUUUGGUAGUGAUAACGGCGCCCACACGUCAAGUGCAGAUCGAACCUGAGUCAUAACCUGGAAGAUCAUUGGUGACAGUUCGUGAUCUAACAAGCGUGGUGGUGACGGAUCGUGAUCUAACAGGAGUGGUGGUGGCGGAUCGUGAUCUAGGAGCCUAAAUCACUUCAGCGGAAAAAGCCAACUCGGAUUUUCAAGGUACGAUUUCUAGAAUACGAAUUCUUAUAUAUUAUAUGAG
Molecule: long non-coding RNA, 309 nt
Filed under: Citrus sinensis (sweet orange)
Lineage: Eukaryota; Viridiplantae; Streptophyta; Magnoliopsida; Sapindales; Rutaceae
Description: long non-coding RNA (CSIN_LNC002498)
Source: RNAcentral